RNAcentral lists this ribosomal RNA (253 nucleotides) under uncultured bacterium. RNAcentral describes it as "partial 16S ribosomal RNA". It matches the Rfam family "Bacterial small subunit ribosomal RNA", at positions 524 to 776 of the family's 1533-position model. The record is from RNAcentral.
UACAGAGGCCUCGAGCGUUAGGCGGAAUCACUGGGCUUAAAGCGUGUGUAGGCGGACUUCUAAGUACCUUGUGAAAUCCCACGGCUCAACCGUGGAACUGCUGGGUAUACUGCCUGUCUUGAGCCAGCCAGGGGCAGUCGGAACAGACGGUGGAGCGGUGAAAUGCGUAGAUAUCGUCUGGAACGCCAAAGGUGAAAACAGACUGCUGGGGCUGUGCUGACGCUGAGACACGAAAGCCAGGGGAGCGAACGGG